UACGUAGGGUGCAAGCGUUGUCCGGAAUUAUUGGGCGUAAAGAGCUCGUAGGCGGUCUGUCGCGUCUGCUGUGAAAUCUCGGGGCUUAACCCCGGGCCUGCAGUGGGUACGGGCAGACUGGAGUGCGGUAGGGGAGAAUGGAAUUCCUGGUGUAGCGGUGGAAUGCGCAGAUAUCAGGAGGAACACCGGUGGCGAAGGCGGCUUUCUGGGCCUUACCUGACGCUGAGGAGCGAAAGCUGGGGGAGCGAACAGG
This 253-nucleotide ribosomal RNA is filed under the name uncultured bacterium. RNAcentral describes it as "partial 16S ribosomal RNA". It matches the Rfam family "Bacterial small subunit ribosomal RNA", at positions 524 to 776 of the family's 1533-position model. The record is from RNAcentral.